RNAcentral lists this ribosomal RNA (253 nucleotides) under uncultured bacterium. Its description in RNAcentral is "partial 16S ribosomal RNA". It matches the Rfam family "Bacterial small subunit ribosomal RNA", at positions 524 to 776 of the family's 1533-position model. The record is from RNAcentral.
UACGAAGGUGGCAAGCGUUACUCGGAAUUACUAGGCGUAAAGGGCAGGUAGGUGGUUUGAUAAGUCUGUUGUGAAAGCUCCCGGCUUAACCGGGAGAGGUCAACGGAAACUAUCAGGCUUGAGUAUAGGAGAGGUUACUGGAAUUCCCGGUGUAGCGGUGAAAUGCGCAGAGAUCGGGAGGAACACCAAUGGCGAAAGCAGGUAACUGGACUAUUACUGACACUAAGCUGCGAAAGCUAGGGGAGCAAACAGG